RNAcentral lists this ribosomal RNA (433 nucleotides) under uncultured bacterium. RNAcentral's name for it is "partial 16S ribosomal RNA". It matches the Rfam family "Bacterial small subunit ribosomal RNA", at positions 29 to 507 of the family's 1533-position model. The record is from RNAcentral.
AACGAACGCUGGCGGCAUGCCUAACACAUGCAAGUCGAACGAGACCUUCGGGUCUAGUGGCGCACGGGUGCGUAACGCGUGGGAAUCUGCCCUUGGGUUCGGAAUAACAGUGAGAAAUUACUGCUAAUACCGGAUGAUGUCUUCGGACCAAAGAUUUAUCGCCCAGGGAUGAGCCCGCGUAGGAUUAGCUAGUUGGUGGGGUAAUGGCCUACCAAGGCGACGAUCCUUAGCUGGUCUGAGAGGAUGAUCAGCCACACUGGGACUGAGACACGGCCCAGACUCCUACGGGAGGCAGCAGUGGGGAAUAUUGGACAAGGGGCGCAAGCCUGAUCCAGCAAUGCCGCGUGAGUGAUGAAGGCCUUAGGGUUGUAAAGCUCUUUUACACGGGAUGAUAAUGACAGUACCGGGAGAAUAAGCUCCGGCUAACUCCGUG